UGGGGAAUCUUGCACAAUGGGGGCAACCCUGAUGCAGCGACGCCGCGUGAGCGAUGAAGGUUUUCGAAUCGUAAAGCUCUGUCCUAUGGGAAGAUAAUGACGGUACCAUAGGAGGAAGCCCCGGCUAACUACGUGCCAGCAGCCGCGGUAAUACGUAGGGGGCGAGCGUUGUCCGGAAUUACUGGGCGUAAAGGGUUCGCAGGCGGCAUGGCAAGUCCGAUGUAAAAGGCGAAGGCUCAACCUUCGUAAGCAUCGGAAACUGUCAAGCUUGAGUGAAAGAGAGGCAAGUGGAAUUCCUAGUGUAGCGGUGGAAUGCGUAGAUAUUAGGAGGAAUACCGGUGGCGAGGGCGUCUUGCUGGACUUCAACUGACGCUGAGGAACGAAAGCGUGGGUAGCAAACAGG
RNAcentral lists this ribosomal RNA (403 nucleotides) under Fusobacteriota bacterium. Its description in RNAcentral is "Fusobacteria bacterium partial 16S ribosomal RNA". It matches the Rfam family "Bacterial small subunit ribosomal RNA", at positions 355 to 776 of the family's 1533-position model. Lineage: Bacteria; Fusobacteriati; Fusobacteriota. The record is from RNAcentral.